RNAcentral lists this ribosomal RNA (1227 nucleotides) under Escherichia coli. RNAcentral's name for it is "partial 23S ribosomal RNA". It matches the Rfam family "Bacterial large subunit ribosomal RNA", at positions 1 to 1268 of the family's 2925-position model. The record is from RNAcentral. Lineage: Bacteria; Pseudomonadati; Pseudomonadota; Gammaproteobacteria; Enterobacterales; Enterobacteriaceae.
GGUUAAGCGACUAAGCGUACACGGUGGAUGCCCUGGCAGUCAGAGGCGAUGAAGGACGUGCUAAUCUGCGAUAAGCGUCGGUAAGGUGAUAUGAACCGUUAUAACCGGCGAUUUCCGAAUGGGGAAACCCAGUGUGUUUCGACACACUAUCAUUAACUGAAUCCAUAGGUUAAUGAGGCGAACCGGGGGAACUGAAACAUCUAAGUACCCCGAGGAAAAGAAAUCAACCGAGAUUCCCCCAGUAGCGGCGAGCGAACGGGGAGGAGCCCAGAGCCUGAAUCAGUGUGUGUGUUAGUGGAAGCGUCUGGAAAGGCGCGCGAUACAGGGUGACAGCCCCGUACACAAAAAUGCACAUGCUGUGAGCUCGAUGAGUAGGGCGGGACACGUGGUAUCCUGUCUGAAUAUGGGGGGACCAUCCUCCAAGGCUAAAUACUCCUGACUGACCGAUAGUGAACCAGUACCGUGAGGGAAAGGCGAAAAGAACCCCGGCGAGGGGAGUGAAAAAGAACCUGAAACCGUGUACGUACAAGCAGUGGGAGCACGCUUAGGCGUGUGACUGCGUACCUUUUGUAUAAUGGGUCAGCGACUUAUAUUCUGUAGCAAGGUUAACCGAAUAGGGGAGCCGAAGGGAAACCGAGUCUUAACUGGGCGUUAAGUUGCAGGGUAUAGACCCGAAACCCGGUGAUCUAGCCAUGGGCAGGUUGAAGGUUGGGUAACACUAACUGGAGGACCGAACCGACUAAUGUUGAAAAAUUAGCGGAUGACUUGUGGCUGGGGGUGAAAGGCCAAUCAAACCGGGAGAUAGCUGGUUCUCCCCGAAAGCUAUUUAGGUAGCGCCUCGUGAAUUCAUCUCCGGGGGUAGAGCACUGUUUCGGCAAGGGGGUCAUCCCGACUUACCAACCCGAUGCAAACUGCGAAUACCGGAGAAUGUUAUCACGGGAGACACACGGCGGGUGCUAACGUCCGUCGUGAAGAGGGAAACAACCCAGACCGCCAGCUAAGGUCCCAAAGUCAUGGUUAAGUGGGAAACGAUGUGGGAAGGCCCAGACAGCCAGGAUGUUGGCUUAGAAGCAGCCAUCAUUUAAAGAAAGCGUAAUAGCUCACUGGUCGAGUCGGCCUGCGCGGAAGAUGUAACGGGGCUAAACCAUGCACCGAAGCUGCGGCAGCGACACUGUGUGUUGUUGGGUAGGGGAGCGUUCUGUAAGCCUGUGAAGGUGUACUGUGAGG